GUCAGGGCGGCGUAGGGGCGGGUAGACUGGUGGUUGAGAUUUGGCGGAGAGCGGGCGUCGUCGUGCGGAAGAGGUGAUGGAAGCGACCGGUUAAACGGCGCUAGAAUCGAGGGCGCACAGGAGAGAAGACAGGCGGGCGCGGGCGCGGGGGAGAGCGCGGAACAACAGAUUGUCGGGCGGCGUCUGACAGAGCGGGGAAAGGAACUGUCGCGGCCGCGGUCGGGGUUGGCGGUGGAGGAAUCGUCGUGUAGCGACGACCGGGCGGCGCAACUGUGGCUGAAAGGGAUGGAAAAGACGGGCGACAUCGGGCUCUGGGGCCGGGAUCUGGUGGCGUGAUGAUGGGCGCGGGAGACGAGGUUCUGCAGAAAGGGUGCAGAGGGUUUCCGCUGCUAUUGGGGAAAAGGGGCGCGGGAACCCACUCUGUUGCUUGCCAGAGACAAAACUGGGCGAUGGCGUCGGAGAAGACGAGCCACGCGGCAGGAAAACUCUGAGGCGGCCAUGCAACUCGAGUGCGGCUGGCGCGGGGGAUCUGGAGAAAGAUCUCGCGGGUCCACCGGUGGAUAAAUCGGACGGGUGAGGAAGAUCAGCAGGAUCCGACGGUGGACGGAGCUCGCCGGGGUUGGGAGAGGAGCGAAGCAGGUAGGGGUUGGAUCUCAGGGGUCGGGAUCGGCGGAAAACUGGGCACUUAGGUGCGGUCAAACAAAACAGCUGACUAAGGUUAAGGGCUGAGAUCAAGCCUAACUGGGAAGGAUUAGGGGUCAGUCGUUACAGCCUACCCCUCUUAAAAGAAUCUCGUCCCGAGAUUCAAGGAUCAAAGGGUGUGCUAUUCUUACCUCCUUGAUGGGACAGAAAACCUGGGAAACGCUUGUUCAGAUACUUGUCCGUUUCCCAUAUUGCUUCAUCUUCGGUGUGGUUUCUCCAGAGGAUCUUGUACAUCUUUACCACUUGGCGUCGGGUGUGCCUUUCCUUUUGGUCAAGAACUCGAUCUGGGUACUCGGCGUAGGUCAGGUCGGGCUCUACCUAAAGCUGUUCUUGUUCUACGAUCUCUGCUGGAACUCGGACACACUUCUUCAGUUGAGACACAUGAAAAACAUCAUGUAUGGCUGAUAGCUGCUCUGGAAGUCGGAUCCGGUAAGCAACGGGUCCACAUCUCUCCACAAUCUCAUAAGGGCCAACAUAGCGGGGGGGCUAACUUGCCCUUUAUUCCAAACCGCUGCACUCCUUUGGUCGGGGAUACUCUAAGGUACACAUGAUCACCAAGGUCGAACUGCAGGGGUCUCCUCCGCUGGUCGGAGUAACUCUUCUGUCGAGAUUGGGCAGCCUUGAGAUUUGCUUGAAUUACCUUCACUUGCUCUUCGGCUUCUGCCACUAAGUCGGGGCCAUAAACCUGUCUCUCUCCUGGUUGGGACCAGUUCAAGGGUGUCCUGCAUCUCCGGCCAUACAGGGCCUCGAACGGUGCCAUCUUUAAACUGGCCUGGUAGCUGUUAUUGUAGGAGAAUUCUGCUAAGGGCAGACACUUGUCCCAGCUUUUAUCGUAGUGGAUAACACAGGCUCUUAGCAUAUCUUCAAGAAUCUGGUUAACUCUCUCGGUUUGGCCAUCGGUUUGAGGAUGUUACGUUGAGCUUCGGAUGAGCUUGGUGCCCAUAGAUGCUUGUAGUUGCUCCCAAAAACGGGCCACAAACUGAACUCCUCGAUCAGAGAUGAUGGUCUUGGGUACACCAUGUAGGGAAACAAUACGGUCGAGGUACAGCUCUGCAUAUUGCUUGACUGUAUAGGUGGUACGAACAGGAAAGAAAUGUGCCGUCUUGGUCAGUUGGUCCACUAUAACCUAGAUGGAAUCAUACCGUUGAGUUGUAAGGGGUAAACCAACUAUGAAGUCCAUGCUGAUGUCUUCCCAUUUCCAAGAGGGGAUAGGUAGCGGCUGCAAGGUUCCUGCCACCUUCAAAUGACUGGCCUUGACACGUUGACAGGUGUCACAUUCUGAAACAUAACGAGCUAUCUCUGGUUUCAUUCCACUCCACCAAAAGGUUUGACGAAGAUCAUGGUACAUCUUAUUGCUGCCAGGAUGGAUCGAGAACUUGGAGAGAUGAGCUUCGUCUAGGAUUUGCUUCCUCAACUCGGGGUCGGCGGGCACUACUAGUCGGUUUCCAUAAUACACACCUCCUGUUUUGUCCUGACGGAAUUGCUUAUAUCCUUCCUCCUUUACUGAGAUCUUACUGAUGAUCCGUUUUAUUUCUUCAUCCUUAACUUGUGCUAACCGAAUUCGGUCCUCCAAAACUGAGUCAAGGAUGAUGUGAUCAAGGGUUCCAUGAGGAACAAUUUCCAAACUUAGUUUUCCCAUCUCGUGACACAUAGUGUUGGUGAAGGCUGUUGACAACAGGCAGUUGCAAUGGGGUUUGCGACCGAGGGCAUCGGCUACCACAUUGGCCUUGCCAGGAUGAUAGUGCACUUCCAACUCAUAAUCCUUUAUCAACUCCAGCCAUCUUCUCUGACGCAUGUUGAGGUUGGCUUGAGUGAAGAUAUACUUGAGGCCCUUGUGGUCGGUGUAGAUGUUGCAGUGAGCUCCCAUUAGGUAGUGCCUCCAUAUCUUUAAGGCAUGUAUCACUGCUGCCAACUCAAGGUCAUGUGUCGGGUAGCUUAGCUCAUGAGGUCGUAACGCACGUGAGGCAUAGGCAAUGACUCGGCCGUCUUGCAUAAGAACACAUCCGAGUCCAGUGCCAGAGGCGUCACAGUAUACGUCAUACGGCCUAGAGGGGUCGGGUUGUGCCAAAACUGGGGCGGUGGUCAGCAAGUGCUUCAGGGUCUUGAAGGCCUCUUCACACUUGGUGUCCCACACAAACUUGACCUCCUUCUUCAGCAACUCGGUCAUCGGCUUAGCUAUCUUGGAGAAAUCCGGUAUGAAACGCCGAUAGUAACCUGCAAGUCCAAGGAAACUCCUGAUCUGGUGUACUGAAGUAGGAGACUUCCAUUCCAUGACUUCUUGUACCUUGCUGGGAUCCACGGCGAUACCAUCCUUAGAGAUAGUGUGUCCCAGAAACUUGACACUAUCUAACCAAAACUCACACUUGGAGAACUUGGCAUAGAGCUGGUGAUCUCUCAGCCGUUGGAGAACUAUAUGAAGAUGGUCGGCAUGCUCUUCCUCAUCUUUCAAGUACACUAGGAUAUCAUCAAUGAACACCACGACAAACUUGUCCAGCUCGGGCAUAAACACCGAGUUCAUAAGGUACAUGAAAUAAGCGGGUGCAUUGGUGAGUCCAAAGGACAUGACUAGGUACUCGUACAGUCCAUAUCUGGUAGAGAAGGCUGUCUUGGGUAUGUCGCAAGGUCGAAUCUUGAUUUGGUGAUAACCAGAACGAAGAUCGAUCUUGGAGAACACUUUUGCUCCGGCUAACUGAUCGAACAAGACAUCAAUACGUGGCAGUGGGUACUUGUUCUUGACUGUUACCGCAUUGAGGGGUCGGUAAUCCACACACAUCCGUAAACUGUCGUCUUUCUUCUUCACAAACAGGGCGGGGCAACCCCAAGAUGAGGUACUGGGUCGAAUGAAACCUUUUUCCAACAGAUCAUGCAACUGGGCCUUCAACACGGCUAACUCAGCGGGUGGCAUUCGAUAGGGUCUCUUAGAUAUCGGGGCUGUGCCAGGAAUCAACUCUAUGGAAAACUCCACUUCUCUGUCAGGGGGCAUACCCGGUAAAUCUUCUGGAAACACAUCAGGGUACUCACAGAUAACAGGGAGGUCUUUUAGACGGGCUCCCAAGAGAGGGUAAGCACAAGGAGUCGGAGACUCAAGAUGGGUCAAGGAUAGGGUAGAACUGCCAUGGAAGGGUGAGCUGAUGUACAGAGAUCGGGCGGAUGUAUCUAGAACAACAUGAUGUCGGGCCAUCCAGUCCAUACCAAGGAUGACAUGUAUGCCCUUUUAGGUCAAGGAUGAUAAGGUUUUCCUUGAAGAGGGUGGGGCCUAGCUGGAGAGGUACAAGAAUAACGACCUGAUCCGACGUUAUCCUUCCUCCAGGAGUGACGAUCACAUAGGGUUCCUUAGUGUGACCGACACUUAGCCCACAUCUUUCCCUUGCCUUAUUCCCGAUAAAGCUAUGAGAGGCUCCCGAAUCAAACAACACAACAACAGCUUGAUUUAAAACAAGGAAAGUACCCGUCAUUACUGACGCACCUUCGGGAAGUUCGGUCAAGCUGGUGUAGUUGAGUCGGCCUUGUUGGACCUGCACCUUGGGCCUUCUUCCUCUGGCUGCCAUGGGGUUCUGGCCUUGCUGCUGAUUCUUGUUCCUGGGGCAGUCCUUUGCAAAAUGUCCUUCAUUGCCGCAGGUAAAACACCGAUUACUGGCUGCCGGGCGAGGUGGCGUCGGCCGGGUCGGCCGGGGCACUUGCGGCUGGAAGCCUGGAAAACGAGGCGUUGUUGCUGGCGGGGGUCGGGCGAUCCAUUUCCCUGACUGCUGGGGUCGGCCAGGGGUCUGUGGAGGAAUCAUCCGGAACCUUCGAGUCGGUGGACUCGGAAAUGCCACAGAGGCCUUUCUCUUCUGGUCGGCCUUGAGAGCUUGCAUGCAGUCCUCCUGAGAGAUGGCCAGGUUGACCAACUCGUUGUAGGUGUCCACCCUGAUGGGGUUCAGCCUUUCCCUGAGCUCCAAGCUCAGUCCUCGGCGGAAUCUGUCCCGCUUCUUCUCAUCGGUGUCCGCAUGAUAGCCAGCAUAAGGGCAUAGGUCAUUGAAAGCUUGGGCGUAAUGUAGCACAUCCCGAGUUCCUUGGGUGAGGGCAAGAAACUCGUUGAGCUUGCGCUCCAGGAGACCUUCAGGGAUGUGAUGCGCCUUGAACGCCGUCUUGAACUCGUUCCAGCUGACCACAUGGCCAGCCGGCAGCAUGGCAUGGUAGUGGUCCCACCAAAGCCGAGCGGAGCCACGCAGCUGCUAAGCUGCGAACCACGCCUUGUUGUUGUCGGGGCAUGGAGCGGUGAGGAGCUCGAACUUGGAUUCGAUCGUACGAACCCAUGCAUCAGCGUCGAGCGGUUCUUGUGUCUUUUGGAACAGCGGGGGUUGUGUCCCCAGAAAGUCCUCGUACCGCGCGAUAUGCGGCUGCUGCUGUGCUCUUCCACCCUGUGGCUGUUGCUGUUGUCCCUGCACCAGAUGCCUUAGCAGCUCGGUUUGAGUUGCUAGGAUUGCCUCCAACGGCGAUGGGGGCGGGGGCGGGGGAAGAUCCUGUCGCUGAUCACUACCACUGGGCAUAGAUCCAGACCUAGUGCGGUGCGCCAUCUGCAAGAGUUAACGCCCCAUUAAUUUCAUAACCUCAGGUGUACUCCAACAAAUGGAACGUAUGAAUUUAAUCCCUUAAUGCGACUCUUGCCAACGGUGCAUCACACGUCCUCAUAGGGGAAGCACAUUCCUCCCAUUCCCGGCAUAGGUAACUUCUACUUGUCCUGGUACUCCACUUCAGGCACACAUGCCACAUACAGACUCCUAGAAUCUGAUCCACUCAAACCAAGGGGUCGGACACGGUCCGUACUCGGAAAGGGUCGGACGAGGCGGUAACUGCCUCAAGGGUCGGCGCACUCUGGCUCGCAAACUAGGGUCGGCCAACUGAACAGGCUCCCCAAAAACAGCAUAGGGUUACGGCGCAACUUACUCCACCUUAGCAUCCACACCAUACGAAAAGGAUAAAACUAUGCACCGGUUGACUUUAUACACAACGAUGUUUCAACACAGGGAGUACUCACUCAAGGCUAACCUAUUACAGCUUUCCAAAAUCUAGGCUGCCGAGGAGUACAACAAAAGAAAGAAGGUUCCCUGAGAACCCUUAAGCUACCACUGGACACUAUGAGUCGGAGAAGGGGCGCCAUCUUCUUCUAUGUCCAUGCUGGUGUAACGACCGACCCCUAAUCUUUCCCAGUUAGGCUUGAUCUCAGCCCUUAACCUCAGUCAGUUGCUCUGUUGACCGCACUUGAGUGCUCAGUUUUCCGCCAGUUCCGACCCCUGAGAUCCGACCCCUACCGUUCGUUCCUUUUUCCCGACCCUGGCGAGUUCAGCCCUCCGUCGGAUCCUGCUAAUCUUCCUCAACCGUCAGAUCUUUUCCCCGGUGGACCCGUGAGAUCUUUUCCAGAUCCCCCGCACCAGCCGCACUCGAGUUGCAUGGCCGCCUCAGAGCUUUCCUGCCACGUGGCUCGUCUUCUCCGACGCCACCGCUCAGUUUUGUCUCUGGCAAGCGACCAAGUGGGUUCCCGCGCCCUUUUCCCCUAUAGCAGCGGAAGCCCUCUGCACCCCUUUCUGCAGAUCCUCGCUCCCCGCGCCCAUCAUCACGAUACCAGAUCUCGGCCCCGGAGACCGAUGUCGCCCGUCUUUUCCGUCCUUUCCAGCAACAGUUGCGCCGCCCGGUCGUCGCUACACGACGAUUCCCCAACCGCCAACCCCGACCGCGGCAGCGACAAUCCCUUUCCCCGCUCUGUCAGACGCCGCCCGACAAUCUGUUGUUCCGCGCUCUCCCCCGCGCCGCAUCCGCUUGUUCUCCCACCUGUGCGCCUUGAUCCUAGCGCCGUUUAACCGGUCGCUUCUAUCACUUCUUCCGCACGACGACGCCCGCUCUCCGCCAAAUCCCAACCACCGGUCUACCCGCGCCUACGCCGCCCUGACGGAGUAGCGCAAUGAUCGCUGGCGUCACCCCCGGAGUUCUGCAGCACCGCCAGGUUUGCUCAAUCGCCGCCACGGCAGAGCACUCCAUUGCUUCUCCCCGGCCUCCGCGCCGCUCCCCUUCUCUCUCUCCGCGACGUUUCCGUUCCUCUGCUCCAGCAGCUAUAAAAGGAAGGCCCCUGUCGCCGGAGUUCCCUCCGCCUUUGUUGCCCUUAGUUUCCUCUAGCUCCCUGCUCAAGCUCCUAGCGCGACCCACCCAGUUCUUGAAAGGUUCAUCUCCCAGUUCCUUCUCAGUUCAUCCAAGUCACCAGCAGCGUGCUCCUUGUGCUGCGUAGAGCUCUCUUGUGAUCCGCAAGAAGCAGCACCGCCGCCGGAGUAUCGCCAACCUUAGUCCCUGCUCAAAGCUUUAGUUCCGCGCCCAAGUCUGCCUCUUCCCGACCCCAAGCUUUCCUUUCAGGAAGAAGGUGAGUGCCGACCCUAAGUCCGCCUCGACCGACCCCUCCUAUCCGCCCGACCCUAGUUCCGUCUCGUCCGACCCUGUUUGUUCGCCGACCCUUGUCCGCCUCGCCUGAGGGCUUGGCUGUGAUCUUUUUCUUCAACUUGAGGGUGUAAAUGUAAAACGUGGGAACCCUUCAGCGCUUCCGUCUGAGGAUCCCAGUUAUCACAUCCUCUAGUUCAAGGAUCAGACCACUAGUCUCCUUCCUAUCCUCACCUGUUGAUCAUCAUCAGCUCUCUCAAACAGCCUCCACCUCCUGCUCUUUGUCGCAAGUUUCUGGGCUCAGGAGAGCCAGUGUUGCUAUCAAAUCAAAACGUUUAAGCUAACUCUUGCAUUGCAUUCGUGUAGAGCUGCAUCUCGCUGACGGCUUCUACGAGCUGCACCCGACGCCCGAAGAAGAAGCUGUAGCCGAGAUCCUGCCCGCGGAAGUCGAAGCCACCCCCGAAGUCGAGCAGUUCCAGCCUUCUUUGUUUGCAGGCAAGCCCCGGUUGCAUGAAAAUCCUACGUGUCUUUGCCAACUUGCACAUGCCUUCCGAAUAGCAUGUUGUGCAUUUACGUUUAGGAGUUGUGUGAAACCCUAGAUGCAUGACUUAGUAACCCUUGAUAUGAGCACUAGCUGUUGGACCGAGUAGCUGCACUGCUUAAAUAGGAGACGGUAAAAGCCGAGUGAUCUCCUGUCACUCGCGAGUUGUAGGAGUUGCAUGUUUACUCUCCUGUUACAACUAUAAGGACGAUGGACGGGGCAGGGUUUGGUAACACUUUGGUGGUCGGAUGGUCGCCCCGUCUGUCUAUGAAAACUUGCUAAGGCCCGACAGUGGUGGUGUUUGUGAUCAAGUGUUUGAAAGUACUAGCCUCAUACUUAGUAUGGGAUGAGGAAGCCUAGUACCUGAUUGAACCUAGACGUGAGCGGUCGCCCCAUUAUUCUUGGAACGGAGUUUCCCCUGCUGGUUGUCGCACGUGGUGGCAAAGCGUGGUCACAGAACGGCAGAGACCGGGUCUGUGGAACCUUGCACCAAAGGAAAUGGGCCCGACACGGGUUAGGGGAUCGAUGGGGAGGGCCGACACAGGAAGCGACCUCCGGGUGCGCGGAUGCCGUGGGGCUAGGUUCACCAUGCAUGGUUAAAGAACUCGAAUCGAUUCGUCUGCCUCUCACAGUUUGAGAUUACUUGAUCGCCAUGUCACCCUGAGUAAAUGAGGAAUCUGAUGAUGGCAAUGUUGUUUGUUUUUAUCUAUACACUUGUUUGGCUCAAUGUUUGCUGAGAAUAGGUUGCACAACCUAGACUGGUAAAGUAAAUCUAGAACCGGAGCUAAAACUUGAAAAAUAGGUUACUUAGUGCUUUUGGCAAAACAAACCCCUCAGCCAAGAAGCCUUGCAUGUCUAGUUGGAAGAGUAGAUGGCUCCUCCCCGGUUAAGUCUUGUUGAGCUUAGUAGCUCAGCCUUGUUGUGGCUCCUGUUUUUCAGGUGAAGUUGCAGUUCCCGACCCCUCCCUUGUUGGUGCUUGGCCGCCCCAGCUCCCGCCAGGCUGGACGGUCGAGUGGGACCCCUCCUCGGACGGCGAGGAGAGGACUCAGUGAUGUUCUGGCUGGCCUCGCCCGGACGUCCGACCCCGACGAAGUCUUCCGCUAGUGUUUUCUCUGUUGUCUUUUGUUAUAAAACUCUGAUGUUAAAAUUUUAUGAUCGAACUAUUGAGUAAGACGGUUUAACUCAGUGGACUUGUUGUAUUCUCUGUAACCGCUCACCUUCGUGUGGGUUUGCUGAACUCGAUCCUGUUUAAGUGGUUAAAUCGGAUGAAGUCCGACGGCGCUUCGUGUUAGCUCGAGUUAAUCAGGAGUGUCGCAUGUUAGGCGGCUAAACUCUGAUUAAUCAAGCUAAUCCGAGGUGGUUCCGCCACAGCUGGACGCUCCCUCGUCUUCCUCAGGGUCCUCCUGAGCUUCGAGCUGCAUGUUAAGGGCAUGCAUAUCCUCGAGCUCGGCUUGGUGCUCCUCCAGGUGGGCAUUGGCGACUGCUAGCUCCAUUUCCACCUCCAUCUUUUCCUCCGAGAGCUCUAUCAUGCCGUCCAUGAGGUCGGCGACUUCUCCUUCUAGCUCGGAGAUCCAAUCUUGCAUAUCGUGGAUCUGGAUACCACGCUGGAUCAGCUGGUAGGUUUGGCCUACCAUGUCCCUUCUUGCUGCCUGGAGAUAACCAUGGGUAUCUGCAGCCGUCCGGGCGAAGAGAGUCAUGGCUCUUCCCUGAAGCUCUAUCAACCUGUAGAGGGCGGCCAUGCACCGGACGUUGGUGGAGAUGGUGACCAUAGCACAGGUGGUGGCCAACACCUCGAUGUUCCCGACGCGGUCAAGCCAGGCCGGGUCCAGCCGACUUCUGACGGGGAAGAGACCGAUCGGGUCCAGCGUGAUCUCCACGGGGUGCAACUGACAGAACUGGGUAAGCAACUGAAGGGCGGGAGAUUCCCAUGUGUCUUCCGGAGCAAGACCAUAGGCUAUUAUGCCCAGAGAGGGCCAGUCGGGCCGCGCAAGGGGAGGUGGUACCAAUGCUUGCACCUGGCACGUCUGAAUGCCCUGUUCCAUAUAUAACCGCCCGGCAUACAAGGGCGGGGACUGAUACCCGAACCACUUCAGCGUAUCCCACAAAAUCGCGGGAAACCCCUCGAAAUGUAGGCACGUUGACUGGAAGGUACCGUCCGCUCCAAAAACCACAUGUCCGGGAACAGCCAUCUGGAACCAAGAAAACCGAAACCACGUGAGAUAGGUCCAAGGAUCAGGGGUCGGAUAGAAAAGCAGACGGGUUUCACCGAGAGCAACUAAGAGAAACUAGAAAUCCUUAGAUCAAAAGAACUCUUUCGGACAGGGUUGCUGCUGAGAAAAGGGACCGUAUGAUGCAUGCACGGCCUACUGUACUCUUAACCAAAACAACUGCCCAAACCUUGGGUCUUACGCGGUCAACGCCGGUGACAAGGCAACCAUACGUCUCUCCCUAUAAUAACUAGCCGGUUCUAGUAACGUCUUAACGAGCGCGGUUAGCAACCUGCAGAAAAGCACCACACCUGAACCUUCCGUGCCAGCACCCACGAAAGCGUUCCCAAGCAUUACCGCUCACUAUAGAAACGGCACCCAUGCGUUUAAGGCUGCAUGGACAGCACUCAACCGUGGAAAUAGGCUCCCUUUGAAUGGAUCAGUAUAACCCUUCGCAUACUCGUGAUGCGGAAUCGGCACACGUAUGACAAACGUGGCGAAACAACCGUGCCGAUAGGUUCGUUGAAAUCGAACCGUACCAACCUUCGUAUGGAACGCAUACGGAACCUGCGCACGUAUAAUAGACGUGGGCGAAAACAACCGCGAAGAUAGGGUCCUUUGAAUGGAGCUCCCUAUCAACCCUCGCAUACUCGUGAUGCGGAAUCCGGCACACGUAUGAUAGACGUGGCGAAGUGCUGGAAGAGUUAGCAACAUAACCAGGUACUUAUUAGUCACCUAAAACAACCCCCAAAAACCCCUAGGGCCUCUCGCACUAAGUCAUCCUUAACGAUCGUACGAGGUUUUCAAAAAUUUCUUACAACUUUUAUCCUUUUUCAAAGAAGUGUUUAGGGCUCAUCGGGUUCUCUGAAUGCUAAACACGGCUCUGAUACCAGCUGUGGCGGAACCACCUCGGAUUAGCUUGAUUAAGCAAGGUUAAGUCGCCUAACAUGCGACACUCGUGCUUAAACCGAGCUAACACGGGGUGCCGUCGGAUUUCAUCCGAUUUAACCACUUAACAGGAUCGAGUUUAGCAAAACCCACACGAAGGUGAGUGGUUACAGAGAAUACAACAAGUCCACUGAGUUAAACAAGUUUCACCUAUUUUUGUUCAACCAUAAGUCCAACAUCAGAGUUUUAUGAAACAAAAGAACAACAGAGGAAACACUAGCGGAAGACUUCGUCGGGGUCGGAUGUCCGGGUGAGGCCAGCCAGAACAUCACUGAGUCCUCUCCUCGCCGUCCGAGGAGGGGUCCCACUCGACCGUCCAGCCUGGCGGGAGCUGGGGCGGCCAAGCACCAACCAGAGAGGGGUCGGGCGCGGCAACUCCACCUGAAAACAGAAGCCACAACAAGGCUGAGCUACUAAGCUCAACAAGACUUAACCGAUAGGAGUAAGGGCUACUCCUCCUUCUAGACAUGCAAGCUGUUUGGCUGAGGGGUUUGUUUGCCAAAAGCACUAAGUAACCCUAAUUAAAGUUUUAGCUCCGGUUUUAGGUUCACUUACCAGUCUAGGUUGUGCAACCUAUUCUAAGCAAUCAUAGAGCCAAACAAGAGGUGAAGAUAUAAGAAACAAUAUUGCCAUCAUCAGAUUCCUCAUUUACUCAGGGUGACAUAGCGAUCAAGCAAUCUCAAACUGUGAGAGGCAGACGAAUCGAUUCGAGUUCUUUAACCAUGCAUGGUGAACCUAGCCUCACGACAUCCGCGCACCCGGAGGUCGCUUCCUGUGUCGGCCUUCCCCAUCAAUCCCCUAACCCGUGUCAAGCCCAUUUUCUUUGGUGCAAGGUUCCACAGACUCGGCCUCUACCGUCCUGUGACCACACAUUGCCACCACGUGCGACAACCAGCAGGGGAAACUCCGUUCCAAGAACAAUGGGGCGACCGCUCACGUCUAGGUUCAAUCCGGUACUAGGCUUCCUCAUCCCAUACUAAGUAUGAGGCUAGUACUUUCAAACACUUGAUCACGAACACCACCACUGUCGGACCUUAGCAAAUUUUCAUAGACAGACGGGGCGACCAUCCGUCCACCAAAGAGUUACCCAAAACCCUGCCCCGUCCAUCGUCCUUAUAGUUAUAACAGGAGAGUAAACAUGCAACUCCUAUAACUCGCGAGUGACAGGGAAUCACUCGACUUUUACCGUUUUCCUAGUUAAGUAAUGCAGCUACUCGGUCCAACAGCUAGUGCUCAGAUCAUGGGUCACUGAGUUAUGCAUCUAGAGUUUCACACAACUCCUAUACGUAAAUGCACAAGCAUGUUACAGAAGGCAUGCGCAAGUCUGGUAAAACAUAUUGGACUUUCAUGCAACCGGGGCUUGCCUUCAAGCAAGGAGGACGGAAAUUGCUCGGCUUCGGGGGCGACUUCGGCUUCGGAGGGCAGGAGCUCGGCUACAGCUUCUUCUUCGGGCGCCGGGUGAAGCUCGUAGAAACCGUCGACGAGGUGCAGCUCUACACGAAUGCAAUGCAAGGGUUAGCUUAGACGGUUAGUUCAACAGCAACACUGGCUCGCCUGAGCCCAGAAACUCGCGACAAGGAGCAGGAGGUGAUAGCAGUUCGAGAGCUGAUGAUGAUCAUAAGGUAAGGGUAGGAAGGAACUAGUGGUCUGAUCCUUGAACUAGAGGAUGUGAUAAACUAGGGGUCCUUAGACGCAAGCGCUGAAGGGUUCCCAAGUUUUACACAUACACCCUCGAGUUGAAGAAAAAGAUCACAGCCAAGGCCUCGGGCGAGGCGGACAAGGGUCGGCAGAACAGACAGGGUCGGGCGAGACGGAGCUGGGGUCGGGUGGAUAGGAGGGGUCGCGCGAGGCGGACUGGGGUCGGGUGGAUAGGAGGGGUCGGGCGAGGCGGACUGGGGUCGGCAACUCACCUUCUUCCUGAAAGGAAAGCUUGGGGUCGGGAAGAGGCAGACUUGGGCGGAGGGACUAAAGCUUCGAGCAAGGGCUAAGACUGGUAAUGCUCCGGCGGCGGCGUUGCUUCUUGCGGAACACAAGAGAGCUCUUACGCAGCACGGGGGAGCAAGCUGCUGCGUGACUGGGAGGAACUGAGAGGGAACUGGGAGAAGAACUCCUCAAGAACUGGGGGGGGUGGCGCUAGGAGCUUGAGCAGGGAGUAGGAGGAAGCUGAAGGCAACAGAGGCGGAGGGAACUCCGGCGACGGGGGCAUUCCUUUUAUAGCUGCUGGAGCAGAGGAACGGAAACGGCGCGGAGAGAGAGAAGGGGAGCGGCGCGAAGGCCGGGGAAAAGCAAUGGAGUGCUCUGCCGUGGCGGCGAUUGAGCAAACCGGGCGGUGCUGCAGAACUCCGGGGGUGACGCCAGCGAUCAUUGCGUUCUGCUGUCAGGGCGGCGUAGGGGCGGGUAGACUGGUGGUUGAGAUUUGGCGGAGAGCGGGCGUCGUCAUGCGGAAGAGGCGAUGGAAGCGACCGGUUAAACGGCGCUAGAAUCGAGGGCGCACAGGUGAGAAGACAGGCGGGCGCGGGCGCGGGGGAGAGCGCGGAACAACAGAUUGUCGGGCGGCGUCUGACAGAGCGGGGAAAGGAACUGUCGCGGCCGCGGUCGGGGUUGGCGGUGGAGGAAUCGUCGUGUAGCGAUGACCGGGCGGCGCAACUGUGGCUGAAAGGGAUGGAAAAGACGGGCGACAUCGGGCUCUGGGGCCGGGAUCUGGUGGCGUGAUGAUGGGCGCGGGAGACGAGGUUCUGCAGAAAGGGUGCAGAGGGUUUCCGCUGCUAUUGGGGAAAAG
Molecule: long non-coding RNA, 13579 nt
Filed under: Setaria viridis
Lineage: Eukaryota; Viridiplantae; Streptophyta; Magnoliopsida; Poales; Poaceae
Description: long non-coding RNA (SVIR_LNC005205)
Source: RNAcentral